UUGCGAUAAGUAGUAUGAAUUGCAAAUUCUGUGAAUCAUCGAAUCUUUGAACGCAUAUUGCGCUCUCUGGUACUCCGGAGAGCAUGCCUGUUUGAGGGUAAUUAAUUAAAUCUUUGACCUUUCUUGGUCAAGGGAUAUGGGCAUUCCGUGUUUAGCACGGUGGCCUAAAAUGUAUGGUUAGUCUCAUCAAGUUGAGAUGUGUAAUAAUAUUUAUUUCACACAACAUUUGAUGAAUUACCAAGUUUUGAUCUAUUUAACUCUGUUAGAUGUGGUUAAAACAAUAUAUUUUUGACAUUACCUCAAAUCAGGUAGGAAUACCCGCUGAACUUAA
RNAcentral lists this unclassified non-coding RNA (331 nucleotides) under uncultured Archaeosporaceae. RNAcentral's name for it is "partial contains 5.8S ribosomal RNA, internal transcribed spacer 2, and large subunit ribosomal RNA". The stretch from base 1 to 101 matches the Rfam family "5.8S ribosomal RNA", at positions 53 to 154 of the family's 154-position model. The record is from RNAcentral. Lineage: Eukaryota; Fungi; Glomeromycota; Glomeromycetes; Archaeosporales; Archaeosporaceae.